RNAcentral lists this ribosomal RNA (253 nucleotides) under uncultured bacterium. RNAcentral describes it as "partial 16S ribosomal RNA". It matches the Rfam family "Bacterial small subunit ribosomal RNA", at positions 524 to 776 of the family's 1533-position model. The record is from RNAcentral.
UACGGGGGGAGCUAGCGUUGUUCGGAAUUAUUGGGCGUAAAGAGCGUGUAGGCGGUCUUAUAAGUUGGGAGUGAAAUCCCGGGGCUUAACCUCGGAACUGCUUCCAAAACUAUUUGACUAGAGUAUGCAAGAGGGUGACGGAAUUCCUAGUGUAGAGGUGAAAUUCUUAGAUAUUAGGAGGAACACCGGUGGCGAAGGCGGUCACCUGGGGCAUUACUGACGCUGAGACGCGAAAGCGUGGGGAGCAAACAGG